This 253-nucleotide ribosomal RNA is filed under the name uncultured bacterium. Its description in RNAcentral is "partial 16S ribosomal RNA". It matches the Rfam family "Bacterial small subunit ribosomal RNA", at positions 524 to 776 of the family's 1533-position model. The record is from RNAcentral.
GACGAACCGAGCGAACGUUAUUCGGAAUCACUGGGCUUAAAGGGCGCGUAGGCGGGCGGCCGAGUCCGGGGUGAAAGCCCCCAGCUCAACUGGGGAAGUGCCUCGGAUACUGGUCGCCUCGAGGGAGAUAGGGGCGUGCGGAACUUCCGGUGGAGCGGUGAAAUGCGUAGAUAUCGGAAGGAACACCGGUGGCGAAAGCGGCGUGCUGGAUCUCUUCUGACGCUGAGGCGCGAAAGCCAGGGGAGCGAACGGG